UUUCGGUGGGGGCUGCUGGGUUUGGGGGCAGGGGAAAUGUAGCAUUUUUCAGUAGUAUUUUUUAUUUUUAAUUUUUUUUUAAGAAAACGUCUUCUGGCUUGUCUGAGAAGAGACUCUGGCAGCCCAGCUGGUGUUUAACUUGUUGCAAAAGUUAGCCAGGAAGGAACUAAGCUGCAGCUCGGAGAACAAAAUGCGGUGGUUGUUUGCAACAGAUCUGCCGCUAGAUUUGGAGGAGGGCUUUUUUCUUAAUUUUUUUUUUUAAGAGCAACAUUUACGACCUGUCACGCCGACUAAAACAUAAAACUCGCUGAAGAUCCAAACCAGAAAGCGGCCGAGACGUCGGAGCAAGCGUGAUGCUUUCCUUAGCAAGGUGGUGACCUCGUUUUGGUGCCUGGCUUAAUCGUUCGGAGGAGUCUGUGUUUUAACAAGAGACAAUUCCUAGGUGAUAAGAGUGGAUGGAAAGAGAAAUGGGAGCAGCUGGCUGCCAGCUCUUUGUUUUUAAGCUUUUGAGAGUUUUAAACCUGGUUUUUUUUGGUGUGGAAGGCUUGUCUGUAGAGGAAUCCAACUGUAAGCUGUUCCCAGAGCCGCUGAGGUCUGAGCUAUAAUAGAUACUGCAGAAGAAGGGGCCGCCGGCUGUAAAAUACCCACGAUCUGAAGCAUAUUUUAAGCUUGGCACUUUCUUGUGCUCCAAACCAAAGCAGAGUCUAACUUAUAUAAAAUAAAGAAAUGACUAAAUAAAAGUUGCUGAGUAAGCAA
Long non-coding RNA from Alligator mississippiensis (American alligator), 756 nucleotides. RefSeq lists it as uncharacterized. The transcript is spliced from 2 exons. Lineage: Eukaryota; Metazoa; Chordata; Crocodylia; Alligatoridae. The record is from RefSeq and is a predicted model, not a curated record.